RNAcentral lists this ribosomal RNA (468 nucleotides) under uncultured bacterium. RNAcentral's name for it is "partial 16S ribosomal RNA". It matches the Rfam family "Bacterial small subunit ribosomal RNA", at positions 38 to 507 of the family's 1533-position model. The record is from RNAcentral.
GAGGAAAGAGGGGGGCGUGCUUAACACAUGCAAGUCGAACGGUGAAGGCGGAGCUUGCUCUGCUGGAUCAGUGGCGAACGGGUGAGUAACACGUGAGCAAUCUGCCCCUGACUCUGGGAUAAGCGCUGGAAACGGCGUCUAAUACUGGAUACGAGCUGCGAAGGCAUCUUCAGCAGCUGGAAAGAAUUUCGGUCAGGGAUGAGCUCGCGGCCUAUCAGCUUGUUGGUGAGGUAAUGGCUCACCAAGGCGUCGACGGGUAGCCGGCCUGAGAGGGUGACCGGCCACACUGGGACUGAGACACGGCCCAGACUCCUACGGGAGGCAGCAGUGGGGAAUAUUGCACAAUGGGCGAAAGCCUGAUGCAGCAACGCCGCGUGAGGGACGACGGCCUUCGGGUUGUAAACCUCUUUUAGCAGGGAAGAAGCGAAAGUGACGGUACCUGCAGAAAAAGCGCCGGCUAACUACGUG